CCCUUAGAUGUUCGGGGCCGCACGCGCGCUACACUGAAGGAAUCAGCACGUCUUUCUCCUUGUCCGAAAGGACUGGGUAACCCGCUGAACCUCCUUCGUGCUAGGGAUUGGGGCUUGUAAUUCUUCCCCAUGAACGAGGAAUUCCCAGUAAGCGCGAGUCAUAAGCUCGCGUUGAUUACGUCCCUGCCCUUUGUACACACCGCCCGUCGCUACUACCGAUUGGAUGGUUUAGUGAGAUCCUCGGAUUGGUCCCGGAGCGGCCUCUGGUCGUGCCGGUGUGCCGAAAAGAAUGUCGAACUUGAUCAUCUAGAGGAAGUAAAAGUCGUAACA
Molecule: ribosomal RNA, 330 nt
Filed under: uncultured eukaryote
Lineage: Eukaryota
Description: partial 18S ribosomal RNA
Rfam family: Eukaryotic small subunit ribosomal RNA
Source: RNAcentral